This 465-nucleotide ribosomal RNA is filed under the name Vreelandella stevensii. RNAcentral's name for it is "partial 16S ribosomal RNA". It matches the Rfam family "Bacterial small subunit ribosomal RNA", at positions 338 to 795 of the family's 1533-position model. The record is from RNAcentral. Lineage: Bacteria; Pseudomonadati; Pseudomonadota; Gammaproteobacteria; Oceanospirillales; Halomonadaceae.
CCUACGGGCGGCUGCAGUGGGGAAUAUUGGACAAUGGGGGCAACCCUGAUCCAGCCAUGCCGCGUGUGUGAAGAAGGCCCUCGGGUUGUAAAGCACUUUCAGUGAGGAAGAACGCCUGGUGGUUAAUACCCAUCAGGAAAGACAUCACUCACAGAAGAAGCACCGGCUAACUCCGUGCCAGCAGCCGCGGUAAUACGGAGGGUGCGAGCGUUAAUCGGAAUUACUGGGCGUAAAGCGCGCGUAGGUGGCUUGAUAAGCCGGUUGUGAAAGCCCCGGGCUCAACCUGGGAACGGCAUCCGGAACUGUCAAGCUAGAGUGCGGGAGAGGAAGGUAGAAUUCCCGGUGUAGCGGUGAAAUGCGUAGAGAUCGGGAGGAAUACCAGUGGCGAAGGCGGCCUUCUGGACUGACACUGACACUGAGGUGCGAAAGCGUGGGUAGCAAACAGGAUUAGAUACCCUGGUAGUC